RNAcentral lists this ribosomal RNA (513 nucleotides) under Achromobacter sp. VPMK55. Its description in RNAcentral is "bacterial SSU rRNA". It matches the Rfam family "Bacterial small subunit ribosomal RNA", at positions 141 to 649 of the family's 1533-position model. Lineage: Bacteria; Pseudomonadati; Pseudomonadota; Betaproteobacteria; Burkholderiales; Alcaligenaceae. The record is from RNAcentral.
GGAUAACUACGCGAAAGCGUAGCUAAUACCGCAUACGCCCUACGGGGGAAAGCAGGGGAUCGCAAGACCUUGCACUAUUAGAGCGGCCGAUAUCGGAUUAGCUAGUUGGUGGGGUAACGGCUCACCAAGGCGACGAUCCGUAGCUGGUUUGAGAGGACGACCAGCCACACUGGGACUGAGACACGGCCCAGACUCCUACGGGAGGCAGCAGUGGGGAAUUUUGGACAAUGGGGGAAACCCUGAUCCAGCCAUCCCGCGUGUGCGAUGAAGGCCUUCGGGUUGUAAAGCACUUUUGGCAGGAAAGAAACGUCAUGGGCUAAUACCCCGUGAAACUGACGGUACCUGCAGAAUAAGCACCGGCUAACUACGUGCCAGCAGCCGCGGUAAUACGUAGGGUGCAAGCGUUAAUCGGAAUUACUGGGCGUAAAGCGUGCGCAGGCGGUUCGGAAAGAAAGAUGUGAAAUCCCAGAGCUUAACUUUGGAACUGCAUUUUUAACUACCGAGCUAGAGUGU